This 253-nucleotide ribosomal RNA is filed under the name uncultured bacterium. Its description in RNAcentral is "partial 16S ribosomal RNA". It matches the Rfam family "Bacterial small subunit ribosomal RNA", at positions 524 to 776 of the family's 1533-position model. The record is from RNAcentral.
UACAGAGGGGGCAAGCGUUGUCCGGAAUUACUGGGCGUAAAGGGCGCGUAGGCGGCCUGUUAAGUCGAACGUGAAAUCCCCGAGCUCAACUCGGGAACUGCGUCCGAUACUGGCAGGCUUGAAUCCGGGAGAGGGAUGCGGAAUUCCAGGUGUAGCGGUGAAAUGCGUAGAUAUCUGGAGGAACACCGGUGGCGAAGGCGGCAUCCUGGACCGGCAUUGACGCUGAGGCGCGAAAGCCAGGGGAGCAAACGGG